UACAGAGGCCCCAAGCGUUGUUCGGAUUCAUUGGGCGUAAAGGGUGCGUAGGCGGCGCGGUAAGUCGGGUGUGAAAUCUCGGAGCUUAACUCCGAAACUGCAUUCGAUACUGCCGUGCUUGAGGACUGGAGAGGAGACUGGAAUUUACGGUGUAGCGGUGAAAUGCGUAGAUAUCGUAAGGAAGACCAGUGGCGAAGGCGGGUCUCUGGACAGUUCCUGACACUGAGGCACGAAGGCCAGGGGAGCAAACGGG
RNAcentral lists this ribosomal RNA (253 nucleotides) under uncultured bacterium. RNAcentral describes it as "partial 16S ribosomal RNA". It matches the Rfam family "Bacterial small subunit ribosomal RNA", at positions 524 to 776 of the family's 1533-position model. The record is from RNAcentral.